RNAcentral lists this ribosomal RNA (514 nucleotides) under uncultured bacterium. RNAcentral describes it as "bacterial SSU rRNA". It matches the Rfam family "Bacterial small subunit ribosomal RNA", at positions 9 to 517 of the family's 1533-position model. The record is from RNAcentral.
GAGUUUGAUCGUGGCUCAGAUUGAACGCUGGCGGCAGGCCUAACACAUGCAAGUCGGGCGGUAGAGAGAAGCUUGCUUCUCUUGAGAGCGGCGGACGGGUGAGUAAUGCCUAGGAAUCUGCCUGGUAGUGGGGGAUAACGCUCGGAAACGGACGCUAAUACCGCAUACGUCCUACGGGAGAAAGCAGGGGACCUUCGGGCCUUGCGCUAUCAGAUGAGCCUAGGUCGGAUUAGCUAGUUGGUGAGGUAAUGGCUCACCAAGGCGACGAUCCGUAACUGGUCUGAGAGGAUGAUCAGUCACACUGGAACUGAGACACGGUCCAGACUCCUACGGGAGGCAGCAGUGGGGAAUAUUGGACAAUGGGCGAAAGCCUGAUCCAGCCAUGCCGCGUGUGUGAAGAAGGUCUUCGGAUUGUAAAGCACUUUAAGUUGGGAGGAAGGGCAGUAAAUUAAUAACUUUGCUGUUUUGACGUUACCGACAGAAUAAGCACCGGCUAACUCUGUGCCAGCCGCCG